This 2037-nucleotide long non-coding RNA is filed under the name Nicotiana benthamiana. RNAcentral's name for it is "long non-coding RNA (NBEN_LNC020330)". The record is from RNAcentral. Lineage: Eukaryota; Viridiplantae; Streptophyta; Magnoliopsida; Solanales; Solanaceae.
CCCCUUUUACAAUGUGAAGGUCUCCUUUAUAUAGUAAGAGACCUUCCUCGAAAUAAUCAAAAAAUACAAAAGUAAGUAGCUUCUUCUUAAUGAAAACGCUGAGUCUUAAACAAUGUCACUUUUAUCUCCAUGUCCAAGUCAUACCCUUGCUUUAAUCGCCAUAUACUCACUGGGCUUACCCAUUGGCAUAGAGACGUUGAGGAUCAAAUUUGACCCUAUACAGUUGUAUAUCUUCUUCCUGAAGUCCAAACAAAAAAAAAAUAAAGGCAUCAAGUAGUAUAAUAGAAAAUAAACAUAAAAAGCAUUUAGUAUGCCUGAUAUGGCAUAAAGGAUUCACUUGGAUAGUCAAAGCUUCUUCCUUUAUGCUCAAUCUCACAUCAUUGAAUUCCAUAUCAGAAUCAAUUAGCAAUCUUUCAAUUUCUCACAAGAUUCACAUAUGCCAUCAAGAGAAAAAAUAUGAGAGGAAAAUCCUAUGGGGAUGAAUUCGUAUUCGCACGCUAUACGAUAAAGACCUCGUGCAAAAAUAUAACAAGAUCACCAUAAUCGUAUGGUAGAAACCUCAUGCUUUAUCCAAAUUAAUCCACUCAACAUGUCCAAAUGUGUAAUAAUCAUAACAAUUCGAAAUAAUUUUCCAUCUCUACGGAUGCGUACACUCACAAAUAAUUAAAAGAUGCAUAAGGCCACAAUAAUAUAGGUGUGGAUGUGUGUUAAAGAUAUAAAUCAUAAUUAUGGAUAAAUCGGGUAUAUCAAUGAUUUCACGAAUAGCUUAUUAUAGCCAAUUAAGAUGUAGUAAUCCUAAACAUUGUUACUAACUAAAAGAAUAAGCUCCCGUAAUCAGACAUUUGGUUAAAAUAUUAAUCAUGGAAACCAUACAACCAAACAAGGCAUAAUGGAAGGCUAAUCUAACCCAAUCACGAAUAAUCCAUAGCACUCGUAUAUGCACUUGUCACCUUGUUACUCCCCAUACAUUUAAAAAUCAUCUCUGGAGGGCACAAAUCUAAUAAAAUAAUACUUAUUAAGGUCCAAUAAAAAUAUAAAAAGUUAUUCCAAUCAAUAAAACUUUAAUCUUUAUUCAAAUAUCGAAAGUCCACUCAGACCGACAUGGUCAAAACCCAAGUUUAGGGAUGGAUCCCAUUUACCCAUAAUUUUAUGAGUCUAGAUAUAAGAUUAAUUAUGUUCCAAAUAUGGGUCUAAAUUGGUGUUUACACCCCCAAAAAUACUCUAUUGAAUUGUAGAUAAAUACCCCAAAUUUCAUUUAAAAUUUCAUAUUUUACUUUAUUUCUAGGAUUAGCUAGGGAUUCUAUGCCUUGUACAUUUUACUCAAUACUCCAGUGGAGGCUUCAUAAACUUGGCUUUAUGGUUGAUCAUGCUACUUUGUGUUAUUUUCAAUACUUCAACUAAUUAAAUUUUUUUGAUCUUAUGAUUACUUUAGAACAUAUGCAUAAAGUUUAUAAGACGUAAAAUUAUUUGCUUUCUUUUAAAGGUCAUUUGACAUGAUGAUACAAGGUAAAAAUCAAGUUAAGGUCCGAUCAUGCCAAUAAAGUCGUAUCAGUAAAGUCUUAUCUAUGAGUAUGUAGAAUGCCACACUUAUAUAAAGGAGAAUAAAAGCAUCUAAUAAAUAGUUUUCACUCUUUCUACUAUAGAUCAUAUGAUACAGUGUAACAUUAAGAAUGUUUCUAAUACAUUUGUUUUCCUGAGUUUGCAGAAAUGACUUGUACUAGCAACUUUUGUAAUAAUUCUCUAACCUUCGCUACUUCGCCAAUCCUGCUACAUCUACAACUAUUAAAAAUCUCAUUAGCUCUUACUACCCCUAUUAUUUAUAUUAUAGUUAUAAAAAACUAAAAAAAAAUUGAAAACCUUACUUAUAGAAAGUGAAUGUGCUCAAGCAUGCAAAGAAAGUGGAUCAAGAGGAGCAGGAUGUUUAGAACCAAGUACCAGCACUAACCUCGAGUUUGUUAAGUGGAUCAGGUCCAUUAGAGAAGCUAUGGAGAUGUUUACCAUCUUCGUGGCUAAUCAAAGAUAGAGAGGAGAUGGUAC